UACGUAGGGGGCAAGCGUUGUCCGGAAUCAUUGGGCGUAAAGCGCGCGUAGGUGGCUUCGUAAGUCCGUUGUGAAAGUCAAAGGCUCAACCUUUGAAAGCCGGUGGAUACUGUCGGGCUAGAGUCCGGAAGAGGCGAGUGGAAUUCCCGGUGUAGCGGUGGAAUGCGCAGAUAUCAGGAGGAACACCGAUGGCGAAGGCAGCUCGCUGGGACGGUACUGACGCUGAGGCGCGAAAGCCAGGGGAGCAAACGGG
Molecule: ribosomal RNA, 253 nt
Filed under: uncultured bacterium
Lineage: Bacteria
Description: partial 16S ribosomal RNA
Rfam family: Bacterial small subunit ribosomal RNA
Source: RNAcentral